RNAcentral lists this transfer RNA (67 nucleotides) under Gallicolumba luzonica. RNAcentral's name for it is "tRNA-Phe". The record is from RNAcentral. Lineage: Eukaryota; Metazoa; Chordata; Aves; Columbiformes; Columbidae.
GUCCCUGUAGCUUACAAUCAAAGCAUGGCACUGAAGAUGCCAAGAUGGCCUCAUACUGCCCAGGGAC